Molecule: ribosomal RNA, 476 nt
Filed under: uncultured bacterium
Lineage: Bacteria
Description: bacterial SSU rRNA
Rfam family: Bacterial small subunit ribosomal RNA
Source: RNAcentral
AAUCAACGCUGGCGGCGUGCCUCAGACAUGCAAGUCGAACGAUUAAAGCUCUCUUCGGAGAGUGUAUAGAGUGGCGCACGGGUGAGUAACACGUAAGUAAUCUACCUUUGAGUGGGGAAUAACAUCGGGAAACCGAUGCUAAUACCGCAUAAUGCAGCGGCAUCGCAAGAUGACAGUGUUAAAGAAUUUAUUCGCUUGAAGAGGAGCUUGCGGCAGAUUAGCUAGUUGGUAAGGUAAUGGCUUACCAAGGCUACGAUCUGUAACCGGUCUAAGAGGACGGUCGGUCACACUGACACUGAAUAACGGGUCAGACUCCUACGGAGGCAGCAGUCGGGAAUAUUGGACAAUGGCGCAAGCCUGAUCCAGCCAUGCCGCGUGAGUGAUGAAGGCCUUAGGGUUGUAAAGCUCUUUCGUCCGGACGAUAAUGACGGUACCGGAAGAAGAAGCCCGGCUAACUUCGUGCCAGCCGCCGCUGU